GUCACUUGGAAAUCUUGUUAAAAUGCAGAUUUGGAUUCAGAAGGUCUGAGUGGAACCUGAGAUUCUGCAUUUCUAACAAGCCCCCAGGUGACAAUGA
This 97-nucleotide microRNA precursor is filed under the name Equus caballus (horse). RNAcentral's name for it is "mir-544 microRNA precursor family". It matches the Rfam family "mir-544 microRNA precursor family". Lineage: Eukaryota; Metazoa; Chordata; Mammalia; Perissodactyla; Equidae. The record is from Rfam by way of RNAcentral.